AAACCAUGUAUCGGGCAUUUUCUAAUUAGUUCUUUGAAACGCUUCUAUGCUUCAUAUAAUGUUUCAUCUUACGAUUUCCUAAGCUUGACAUUUAUGUUGGGAGCAU
Gossypium raimondii (Peruvian cotton) is the source of this 106-nucleotide non-coding RNA. Lineage: Eukaryota; Viridiplantae; Streptophyta; Magnoliopsida; Malvales; Malvaceae. The record is from Rfam.